GCCAGGGUGGUGAAAUGGUAGACACGCAGGAUUUAGGAUCCUGUGACUUUAAGUCAUGGAGGUUCGAGUCCUCUCCCUGGCACCA
Molecule: transfer RNA, 85 nt
Filed under: Candidatus Beckwithbacteria bacterium
Lineage: Bacteria; Candidatus Beckwithiibacteriota
Description: tRNA-Leu
Rfam family: tRNA
About the family: Transfer RNA (tRNA) molecules are approximately 80 nucleotides in length. Their secondary structure includes four short double-helical elements and three loops (D, anti-codon, and T loops).
Source: RNAcentral